AUGACGGACAACCUAAGGCCUACUCGUCUGGAGGCAACUGAUUUGGCAAACGCGGUGCUGGACGGUAGUGAUGCCAUUCUCCUUGGUGUUGAGACUCUCCGUGGGUUGUAUACAAUUGAGACUAUUUCAAUAGUAUGCAGAAUUGGUGCUGAGGCUGAGAAGGUCUUCAACCAGGAUUUGUACUUCAAGCGAACCAUGAAAUACGUGGGAGAACCCAUGACCCACUUGGAGUCUAUUGCUUCCUCUGCAGUGCGGGCUGCUAUCAAAGUUAAGGCUUCGGUCAUCAUUUGCUUCACUUCAUCGACAGGAGAAAAAGAAUGUCCACCAUGCCGUUCCUCGUCUAAAAAGAAAUCAAUUGAAGUGGAGCUUCACAAGCGCAUUUGA
RNAcentral lists this ribosomal RNA (384 nucleotides) under Triticum aestivum (bread wheat). Its description in RNAcentral is "partial small subunit ribosomal RNA". Lineage: Eukaryota; Viridiplantae; Streptophyta; Magnoliopsida; Poales; Poaceae. The record is from RNAcentral.